Chelonoidis abingdonii (Abingdon island giant tortoise) is the source of this 168-nucleotide unclassified non-coding RNA. NCBI's taxonomy places the organism in Eukaryota, Metazoa, Chordata, Testudines, Testudinidae. The record is from Ensembl.
UUGACAGCCAUGGAGACUGAAGUCCUCUCUAGAAAAGGUACAGCAUAUAGGCAGUGUCAGUGUAUGCACCUUCACACUGCCUCACCAUUAUGCCUCAACCCUGUUCUGGGGGGAGCCUCCUGUAGAGUUGAGUGGUUCAGUCUCCUGACCUUUGGCUUUUUUGAUGCU